Parus major (Great Tit) is the source of this 2568-nucleotide long non-coding RNA. RefSeq lists it as uncharacterized. The record is from RefSeq and is a predicted model, not a curated record. The transcript is spliced from 3 exons. Lineage: Eukaryota; Metazoa; Chordata; Aves; Passeriformes; Paridae.
CCUCUUUUCUUUUUUAACAAAAAAUGCCCCCGUACUUUAUUUGGUAAUUUAACGGCACGUAAUUUAAAUCAAUAUAAAAUUCAAAUACUUUUGUGCCACCUGUUGGAUUUUGCCACUAAUUACAUGUAGCUUGAAAUGCUACAUGAACUGCUGUGUUCAGCCUGGGAAGUGUUGCCCUUAGUGCCACCGGGUGCCCUUACGAAAAUACUACUUUGUUUGUUAUUUUGAAAUAUUUUCUCCCUGGGCACACAGAUAGAGCUGUUUUAUUCCUCAUAAAAACCUAACCUAUAAAUUGCAGACUGCAUUCGAGGAAGGUGCAGCGUGAUGCAGGGCUGGAGUCAGGCUUCCUGUGAUAAUGCAGUAAUAAUUAUUUGGAAUGUUAUUAGUAGAGGAACUCCAGUCUGAGGGCCUGGGAGGCAGAAAUGGCUGGUUCUAGAUACACAAAGUCAUAAAUGCACCUGACAGUAUCCGUGGUUAAGGAAAGGGAGGAAUACUCCAGGCCUGUGCUUUCCUCAUGCCUGUGAAUACACAAACAAGUACCAGCACUACUGCUCAGACCAUCAAUCACGGGCGGUCAUACAACACAAAGCAUGCCAAGUGUUAUACAGCUGAGACUCUCAAAAAAAAAUAAUUUUGUGUGACCCUUCUUCAGUAGCUGUCAAGUCAUAAUGUCAGGACACAUCUUAUCAUAGAGGAAGAUGAUGAUUUUAUUUCACAUUGCAGUGGACAUAUUUAUUCACCAUAGAGUAAUAUUUUUUAGAAUGACCAGGGAUAAAUGAGCUGCAAUUAAUACAUUCCUAUAAGAAUCUGAAAAUUAACUGAUGAUUUUAUCCGGAUUUCACUCGAAGAGAAGAUUAAUGACCUGUGGGUUAUCAGCUUUCUUACUUGUUAUUCCUUAUCUACCUGUAAUCACACCACAGACCUACAGUUCUUUGAGAUCAAGAGAUGCAGAAGCAAGUGGAGAAAUGCCCAGAGAAGGAGUGGCCACUUGCUCUUCUUCCCAACUGUAACUGCAAGAAACUGGAUGUGGGAGGUCUCCUUGAUGACCCUUCCUUAGAGUGGCAGGGGAAGGGCCCAUCACUGCUUCUCAUGAAUGAGUGCAGUAGCCCUUUCUAGUGAGAGACAUGCCUGGAGACGAGCCCAGAGAAUGAAAUCCUGCACCAGAAGAGGAGAAAGGAGGAAAAGAAUAAGGAAAGUUAAUGAUUCUCUUUCAAACAGAAGAACCACAUGGACUAAUCUAGGAAGCCAUCUUAGUUAGUAACUAUGGGAGGAAACCCGACAUUAGAAAGUGCAUCCAUCUUCCUGGACAAAAGAAAAGAUCAACUUCCCAGAAACUUUUGUCAUGGAGUCAAUUCUUAUACAAUGACACGCAGUGCUAAAUAAAUCAUUUUUUGAAUUACAAAUUGAGGAUCCGUCGCCCUGGAUAAAUGUUAUUCAUUGGGGGGAGGGCAGGAAAGAAUGACUUAAGAAUAAUUGUCUACAAGUAUUCAGAAGAGAAUCCAAUUUGUCACUCCCAUUUUGAAGUGCCAGUGCAAAAGUUGUUGGCAGCUUUUAAAAUCUCUCCUUUGGCUUUCAAGUAAUAUGUGUAUGGUUAAAAGCCAGUUAGAGAAUGGUGGUGUGAUUUCGUGAUGCAAGGCAAAUGGCACGAUUUAAAGUUUUGUUGAAAUCUGCUGUCUUUACAGGCUUAGAUAAGGCCUUUAUUUGUUUUAGUCAUGCUUGGCUGUCCUAUUCAGCAUAGUUACCAGACUGAUAUUAACAAGAUUCAAUGUGUGAAAGUAAUGCCAUCACUUUGAAUUUUGCAACAUGGUCUCUUCAAGGUCAGGUCUUUUUCAGCUGUUUAAAAAAUGCGAUGACCAACUAUACAUUCAAGCAAAAGAAGUUGUUCUCUCUUGCCAAAAAAGUGACCAUAUCAUUCGUCACUGCCCUAAGUACCUGUAAGCUGAGGUUGUAUUCUUCUCUGCAGUUCACACUAACAGAAUUAAUCUACAAGUGUCAGCAGGAAACACUCAAUUUACCUGACAAACCAUAAAACAAUAUGUUGCAAAGAAACUUUGGACUCUGCCAAUGUGCCAGUCAAUAGGUAUGUGCGAUGAAUCAUCAAACAAAUAUUUCAGUGCAUGGGGAAAAAAAUAAAUCUAGGUUCAGCCCACAUGCCAAUCAAUCAGAGAUUGCCUGAAGAAUCAUGGAACACAUUUGGAGACAAGUAAAAAAUUUCUAGGCUCUGCCAGGAUGCUGGGCCAAUCAAUCACAGUGUGGCUGAUGAAUCAUGAAACACACUCUGCAGCAUGUCAGCACACAUACGUGGUUGGCACAGUUCUCAUCAUCCCGAGUUUGUCUUGCAGUUAAAUUGACUGAAGGUGAGUUAUAGGACUGUUUUUUCUCCCACCUACUGACCUCUGCAACCAGCCACUCUUAAAUCCACUUGCCCUGCGCUUCGUUAAAAGUGCAGAUUCAAAACAAAGGUUCAACACAAGAGCAAACAUGGUUUCGAUGUCAGACGAGUUGUUAACAUGCUGCUGAAAGCUGUUGAACACGUAUUUUGACAACAGAACAGACACCUACAAGAGU